GUUGACCUCGGAUCAGGUAGGAAUACCCGCUGAACUUAAGCAUAUCAAUAAGCGGAGGAAAAGAAACCAACAGGGAUUGCCCUAGUAACGGCGAGUGAAGCGGCAACAGCUCAAAUU
This 117-nucleotide ribosomal RNA is filed under the name Hypocreales sp. KH00223. Its description in RNAcentral is "partial 28S ribosomal RNA". It matches the Rfam family "Eukaryotic large subunit ribosomal RNA", at positions 1 to 115 of the family's 3401-position model. The record is from RNAcentral. Lineage: Eukaryota; Fungi; Ascomycota; Sordariomycetes; Hypocreales.